Molecule: ribosomal RNA, 432 nt
Filed under: uncultured bacterium
Lineage: Bacteria
Description: partial 16S ribosomal RNA
Rfam family: Bacterial small subunit ribosomal RNA
Source: RNAcentral
ACGAACGCUGGCGGCAGGCUUAACACAUGCAAGUCGAACGCACCUUUCGGGGUGAGUGGCAGACGGGUGAGUAACGCGUGGGAAUCUACCCUUCUCUACGGGAUAGCUCCGGGAAACUGGAAUUAAUACCGUAUACGUCCUGAGGGAGAAAGAUUUAUCGGGGAAGGAUGAGCCCGCGUUGGAUUAGCUAGUUGGUGGGGUAAAGGCCUACCAAGGCGACGAUCCAUAGCUGGUCUAAGAGGAUGAUCAGCCACAUUGGGACUGAGACACGGCCCAAACUCCUACGGGAAGCAGCAGUGGGGAAUAUUGGACAAUGGGCGCAAGCCUGAUCCAGCCAUGCCGCGUGAGUGAUGAAGGCCCUAGGGUUGUAAAGCUCUUUCAGUGGGGACGAUAAUGACGGUACCCACAGAAGAAGCCCCGGCUAACUUCGUG